GAUGAACGCUGACAGAAUGCUUAACACAUGCAAGUCUUUGGCGAAGCUGUGCUUGCACAGCCUAGCCAAGGCGGACGGGUGAGUAACGCGUAAGGAACUUGCCCUGCAGUCAGGGAUAACAGACGGAAACGACUGAUAAGACCUGGUAAAGUCAGGCGGACUCAUGUCCAGCCUGAUGAAAAGAGAUGCUGCAGGAGAGCCUUGCGUCCUAUUAGCUUGUUGGUGGGGUAACGGCCCACCAAGGCGAUGAUAGGUAGCCGGCCUGAGAGGGUGGACGGCCACGAGGGGACUGAGAUACGGCCCUUACUCCUACGGGAGGCAGCAGUGGGGAAUAUUGGACAAUGGGGGCAACCCUGAUCCAGCAAUUCUGUGUGCACGAUGAAGGUUUUCGGAUUGUAAAGUGCUUUCAGCAGGGAAGAAAAAAAUGACGGUACCUGCAGAAGAAGCGACGGCUAAAUACGUG
This 463-nucleotide ribosomal RNA is filed under the name uncultured bacterium. RNAcentral's name for it is "partial 16S ribosomal RNA". It matches the Rfam family "Bacterial small subunit ribosomal RNA", at positions 28 to 507 of the family's 1533-position model. The record is from RNAcentral.